CAUCAAUUACAAAAUGCUACUGACGUUGAGUUUUCAUUCAGCCGACCUUGGUGCAUUUCUUCAAGUCUUGUAAAUAGAAGUUAAUUCAUUGGUGGAUGUAAAUUGUGCAGACAUGGUCUGUGAUAAUACUCACUCCAAGAGUCACCCAGGGCUGGAAAAGUGCUUCCGUGUCAGAGGCCACACCCUGCAGCCAAGCACAAGGUCCAGCCUUCCCUCAGCAGCUGAGGACUUGCAGACAAUGCGUGCUUGCGUUCCAGCCACAUCUUACUCACCCUGGAGGCUGCCAAGCAGCUAUGAGAGCAUGGGCCUUUCCAUUAGGACACCUGUAUUAGUUUCCUCAGGCUGCCAUAACAACCUACCACAGAUGGGGUGACAAACAACAGAACUUUAUUUUCUCACAAUUCUGGAGGCUGGAAGCCUGAGAUCAAGGUGCCAGCAAGAUUGGUUUCUUCUGAGACUUCUCUGUGUAGCAUAGAGAGAGCCUCCAUUCUGUGUCUUCGUGUGGUCUUCCUUCUGUGCUUGUCUGUAACCAAUCUCCUCUUCCUAUAAUGACAUCAGUCAGUGACCUUGAUAGCUACAAGUGGAGAUGGAUCUUUGAGCUAUCAGAUGGAAGGCUGUCUCUGCAGACCCACACUGGAUUCUACAUAAAUAAGAAGUAUAAGUGUAACUUCGUUGUGCUAAGUCACUGAGCUUUUCGGAUUUGUUUGUUAUUGCAGCAUAGCUUAACAUUGCUCUGACUAAUGCCAUAUACAAACCUUAAACAUGUGCAAGGGUUUAUUUCUUCAUCUGCCCACACCCAAGAAUUGCUUUCCUAAAAACUUAAAAUGUAUAUAAAUUAUAUGUGUUUAUUAUGGAAAAUUAUGAAAUACAAAUAAACAGAAAAGAAGAAAGUAAAAAUCAUCUAUAAUCCUCUUGGUCAGAGUUAUCUACUGUUAACAUUUUCAUGUCUACACAUCAUGUUUUUUCUAUGUAUAUAGAAAUAUAAAUUUAUGUAUAUAUGCACAUAAACUUAUAUGUGUGUUUACAUAUUAUUGUAGAACCUACUUUUUUUUGAGAGAGGAAGAGAGCGUCUCUCUCUGUCACCCAGGCUGGAGUGUAAUAGAGUGAGCACAGCUCACUGCAGCUUCGACUGUCUGGUCUCAAGCAAUCUUCCCGCCUCAGCCUCUUGAGUAGCUGAGAUAGCUGAGACUACAGGCAUGCACCACCAUACCCGGCUAAUUUUUGUAUUUUUUGUAGAGAUGGGGUCUUGCCAUGUUGCCAAGGCAACUUCUGGGCUCAAGCUGUCCGCCCGCCUCGGCCUCCCAGAGUGCUGGGAUUACAGGCGUGAGCCACUGCGCCUGGCCACAACCUACUUUUUUAUUUGACAAAAUAUUCUGUUAAUUUUCUCAAAGCAAUAAAUACUAUUCUAGAACUCAAUUUUUUUAAUUUUUUUUUCUGAGACAGAGUCUUGCUCUGUCGGCCAGGCUAGAGUGCAGUGGUGCGAUUUCACUGUAACCUCCCCCUCCCGGGUUCAAGCAAUUCUCCUGCCUCAGCCUCCUGAGUAGGUAGGAUUACAGGCUUAUGCCACACAUGCCAGGCUAAUUUUUGUAUUUUUAGUAGAGACAGGGUUUCACCAUGUUGGCCGGGCUGGUCUAGAACUCCUGACCUCAUGAUCCACCCGCCUCAGCCUCCCAACAUGCUGGGAUUACAGGUGUGAGCCACCGCGCCCAGCCUAGAA
Molecule: long non-coding RNA, 1717 nt
Filed under: Homo sapiens (human)
Lineage: Eukaryota; Metazoa; Chordata; Mammalia; Primates; Hominidae
Description: HSALNT0183310
Source: RNAcentral